Dendroctonus ponderosae (mountain pine beetle) is the source of this 1249-nucleotide long non-coding RNA. RefSeq lists it as uncharacterized. The transcript is spliced from 2 exons. The record is from RefSeq and is a predicted model, not a curated record. NCBI's taxonomy places the organism in Eukaryota, Metazoa, Arthropoda, Insecta, Coleoptera, Curculionidae.
ACCUCGCAUUGGCCUUCAACGAUCAUAUAUAAAAAGUCUGAUUUCACCGUUUUUGGUUUAUUUGCGGUUGUCGCAAAGCAGAUUCAAGUUUCUCAUUCAGGAGUUAAUGAAACGAUCCUAAAUUUAAUUUGACAUAUUUUCGCGUGCUUUGUGGAACUCGGAGCCUGAAUUUUGCCUUGUGUGUAGAUUUUCUGUAUACUGCUGUUUUAUGUUUGUGGUUGCAUGUUUUCUAGUACAACUUCUCGUCCACUAUUAAUUUUAUGGUUGAUGCAGAUGAUGGAGUUUGGGAAGCUGUUUGUCACUUCCUAUAUAAAUGCGUAUGUUUCGAAUGUAAAUCUUAAUUAUCAUUAGUGAGAGGAACGAAAACAUUGGAAAGCUCAUCUGAGCGUGAAACUUAUCUAUCCCUUGAAAGUGAAAAACUUGCAUGUAUCCGCGGACAGGUUCUGUUCAGAAAGGCACCGCCAAUUUUCAAAUUAUCUUAAGCGAAAUCUCUGAUCCCGCCAUUUGAAUAAUUGUGUAAGAACUUUUAACAGAGAAACUGAUUAAUUUAUUGUUGACCAAAUCGAAUUGUUUUCAGUUGCUCAACAUAUUUGUGUGGGUUUUCAUUGAUGUUGUUAAGCCACCUUGAAUGAGUCUCUCAAGACGAGAUCGAGCCAGAUAGUUAGACGCCCAGUCUCGCUAGUUGGUAAACUAAUCCAGUCAGAUUCGAUUUUAAAAGGCCUGUCUAGGGCACUUAAUGAAUGAAGGUAUAUUUAUUACCUAGGAAAAUCUAAUCCGACUGGAUUAAAAGUGAUGCGUCACAACAUGAAAAGACAAUACAGAUGACCUUAUAAUAAUAUGUUACUAUUUUAAGCUUGUGCUUAACAAGUAAUUUUAAAACAUGUCUUUCCUAUACAUCUUUUGUUUGUUUGAUUAUUCCUUAGAUAAUAAUCGCCCUUUGAAAUAACCAACGAAAUAGUUAUUUAAUUUUUCUAAAGUUGAAAUGCAUUGGCUCCAGUUGAAUGACCGUUAUAUAGUUAUGUAUAAUUGUUGCAGAAAGUAUAAUUGUUGUUCAAUGGAAACUGAUGUGCAGUGAGGUUAUGAAUUGAAGUUACUCACGUUUUUAUCGCUGGGAUUUUUAUAUUCUUGCUUUGGGAACAAAAUAAAAAACCUAAAUGUUGUAAUUAUGAAUUCGACUCAACCGAAUUUGUUUCUGAAUUGUAUAAUGUACAUAUAAAUAAUCGACAAAUAAAAAUAAUUAUUUCAUGUA